GAAGGAUCAUUACCGAGUGCGGGUCCUUCGGGGCCCAACCUCCCACCCGUGUCUACCGUACCGUGUUGCUUCGGCGGGCCCGCCGCAAGGCCGCCGGGGGGGCGUCCCCCCGGCCCGUGCCCGCCGGAGACCCUGUGAACGCUGAUCUGUGAAGGCGUGUCGUCUGAGUCGCGUGAGAAAUCGUGAAAACUUUCAACAACGGAUCUCUUGGUUCCGGCAUCGAUGAAGAACGCAGCGAAAUGCGAUAAGUAAUGUGAAUUGCAGAAUUCCGUGAAUCAUCGAACCUUUGAACGCACAUUGCGCCCUCUGGUAUUCCGGGGGGCAUGCCUGUCCGAGCGUCAUUGCGAACCCUCAAGCACGGCUUGUGUGUUGGGCCGCCGUCCCCUCGUUUGGAGGGGACGGGCCUGAAAGGCAGCGGCGGCGUCGCGUCCGGUCCUCGAGCGUAUGGGGCUCUGUCACCCGCUCUGCAGGCCCGGCCGGCGCCCGCCGAGUCAACCACUUCUUUCCAGGUUGACCUCGGAUCAGGUAGGGAUACCCGCUGAACUUA
RNAcentral lists this ribosomal RNA (547 nucleotides) under Thermoascus crustaceus. RNAcentral's name for it is "eukaryotic LSU rRNA". The stretch from base 188 to 341 matches the Rfam family "5.8S ribosomal RNA". Lineage: Eukaryota; Fungi; Ascomycota; Eurotiomycetes; Eurotiales; Thermoascaceae. The record is from RNAcentral.